This 252-nucleotide ribosomal RNA is filed under the name uncultured bacterium. RNAcentral's name for it is "partial 16S ribosomal RNA". It matches the Rfam family "Bacterial small subunit ribosomal RNA", at positions 84 to 334 of the family's 1533-position model. The record is from RNAcentral.
GGGUUGGAUGAGUGGCGAACGGGUGAGUAACACGUGAGUAACCUGCCCUCUUCUUUGGGAUAACGGUCGGAAACGGCUGCUAAUACCGGGUAUUCACUGUCCUUCGCAUGGGGGGUGGUGGAAAGGUUUUUUCUGGUGGGGGAUGGGCUCGCGGCCUAUCAGCUUGUUAGUGGGGUGAUGGCUUACCAAGGCUUUGACGGGUAACCGGCCUGAGAGGGUGACCGGUCACAUUGGGACUGAGAUACGGCCCAG